ACGCUCGACACCUACGGGAGGUAGCAGUGGGGAAUAUUGCACAAUGGGGGAAACCCUGAUGCAGCGACGCCGCGUGGAGGAAGAGGGUCUUCGGAUUGUAAACUCCUGUUGUUGGGGAAAAAGAGGAUGGUACCCAACAAGGAAGUGACGGCUAACUACGUUCCAGCAGCCGCGGUAAUCUGAGCGGGCUGGCAAGGC
This 198-nucleotide ribosomal RNA is filed under the name uncultured bacterium. Its description in RNAcentral is "partial 16S ribosomal RNA". It matches the Rfam family "Bacterial small subunit ribosomal RNA", at positions 328 to 539 of the family's 1533-position model. The record is from RNAcentral.